RNAcentral lists this ribosomal RNA (511 nucleotides) under Erodium botrys. RNAcentral describes it as "partial ribosomal RNA". The stretch from base 180 to 335 matches the Rfam family "5.8S ribosomal RNA". Lineage: Eukaryota; Viridiplantae; Streptophyta; Magnoliopsida; Geraniales; Geraniaceae. The record is from RNAcentral.
AAGUUGCACCCGWGCCCCUCCAUCCCCGGCGCCGUGCGGUGAGGGCGUGAGCCCGAGUCGCCCGGCAAACAACGUACCCCGGCGCGGCAUGCGCCAAGGAACCGAAACGAAGCGAUGUGCGCCGCCCGGCCCGUCCGCGGGACCYYGGCGGCAGCACGGCCUUCCACUGUAUACUAAACGACUCUCGGCAACGGAUAUCUCGGCUCUCGCAUCGAUGAAGAACGUAGCGAAAUGCGAUACUUGGUGUGAAUUGCAGAAUCCCGUGAACCAUCGAGUCUUUGAACGCAAGUUGCGCCCGAAGCCAUUAGGCCGAGGGCACGUCUGCCUGGGCGUCACGCGAUCCGUCGCCCCGCAACACCGAGCCCCCUCGUGGCGGCCCGGUCGCUUUGCGGUGCGGAUAGUGGUCUCCCGUGGGCUUGUCCCGCGGCUGGCAUAAAAGCGAGUCCCGCGUGCACCGAGCCGCGGCCGACGGUGGUUGAGAAGCCUUCGGUAAAGAGCCGUGGUUGGGCUG